AGUGAACGCUGGCGGUAGGCCUAACACAUGCAAGUCGAACGGCAGCACAGUAAGAGCUUGCUCUUACGGGUGGCGAGUGGCGGACGGGUGAGGAAUACAUCGGAAUCUACUUUUUCGUGGGGGAUAACGUAGGGAAACUUACGCUAAUACCGCAUACGACCUACGGGUGAAAGCAGGGGAUCUUCGGACCUUGCGCGAUUGAAUGAGCCGAUGUCGGAUUAGCUAGUUGGCGGGGUAAAGGCCCACCAAGGCGACGGUCCGUAGCUGGUCUGAGAGGAUGAUCAGCCACACUGGAACUGAGACACGGUCCAGACUCCUACGGGAGGCAGCAGUGGGGAAUAUUGGACAAUGGGCGCAAGCCUGAUCCAGCCAUACCGCGUGGGUGAAGAAGGCCGUCGGGUUGUAAAGCCCUUUUGUUGGGAAAGAAAAGCAGCAGGUUAAUACCCCGCUGUUCUGACGGUACCCAAAGAAUAAGCACCGGCUAACUUCG
This 490-nucleotide ribosomal RNA is filed under the name uncultured bacterium. RNAcentral's name for it is "partial 16S ribosomal RNA". It matches the Rfam family "Bacterial small subunit ribosomal RNA", at positions 29 to 505 of the family's 1533-position model. The record is from RNAcentral.